This is a transfer RNA of Talaromyces islandicus, 71 nucleotides long. It matches the Rfam family "tRNA". Rfam says of the family: Transfer RNA (tRNA) molecules are approximately 80 nucleotides in length. Their secondary structure includes four short double-helical elements and three loops (D, anti-codon, and T loops). The record is from Rfam. NCBI's taxonomy places the organism in Eukaryota, Fungi, Ascomycota, Eurotiomycetes, Eurotiales, Trichocomaceae.
ACGAUCAUAAGUUAGUGGUAGACUACUCGUUUACCAAACGAGGUGGGCUGAUUCGAAUUCAGCUGGUCGUA